UUACUGACGCUAAAGCUCGAAGGUGCGGGUAUCGAACAGGAUUAGAUACCCUGGUAGUCCGCACGGUAAACGAUGGAUGCCCGCUGUUUGCGAUAUACAGUAAGCGGCCAAGAGAAAUCGUUAAGCAUCCCACCUGGGGAGUACGCCGGCAACGGUGAAACUCAAAGGAAUUGACGGGGGCCCGCACAAGCGGAGGAACAUGUGGUUUAAUUCGAUGAUACGCGAGGAACCUUACCCGGGCUUGAACUGCAGCGGAAGGAAACAGAGAUGUUGACGUCCUUCGGGACCGCUGUGGAGGUGCUGCAUGGUUGUCGUCAGCUCGUGCCGUGAGGUGUCGGCUUAAGUGCCAUAACGAGCGCAACCCUUUUCAUCAGUUGCCAUCAGGUGAUGCUGGGCACUCUGUUGAUACUGCCACCGUAAGGUGUGAGGAAGGUGGGGAUGACGUCAAAUCAGCACGGCCCUUACGUCCGGGGCUACACACGUGUUACAAUGGGGCAUACAGAAGGCAGGAUCAUGGCAACAUGUUUCAAAUCUUUAAAGUGCUCCUCAGUUCGGAUUGGGGUCUGCAACCCGACCCCAUGAAGCUGGAUUCGCUAGUAAU
This 601-nucleotide ribosomal RNA is filed under the name uncultured bacterium. RNAcentral's name for it is "bacterial SSU rRNA". It matches the Rfam family "Bacterial small subunit ribosomal RNA", at positions 737 to 1342 of the family's 1533-position model. The record is from RNAcentral.